Molecule: ribosomal RNA, 497 nt
Filed under: uncultured bacterium
Lineage: Bacteria
Description: partial 16S ribosomal RNA
Rfam family: Bacterial small subunit ribosomal RNA
Source: RNAcentral
GAUGAACGCUGGCGGCGUGCCUAAUACAUGCAAGUCGAGCGAACAGACGAGGAGCUUGCUCCUCUGACGUUAGCGGCGGACGGGUGAGUAACACGUGGAUAACCUAGCUAUAAGACUGGGCUAACUUCGGGAAACCGGAGCUCAUACCGGAUAAUAUAUUGAACCGCAUGGUUCAAUAGUUAACGACGGUUUUGCUGUCACUUAUAGAUGGAUCAGCGCCGCAUUAGCUAGUUGGUAAGGUAACGGCUUACCAAGGCGACGAUGCGUAGCAGACCUGAGAGGAUGACCGGCCACACUGGAACUGAGACACGGUCCAGACUCCUACGGGAGGCAGCAGUAGGGAAUCUUCCGCAAUGGGCGAAAGCCUGACGGAGCAACGCCGCGUGAAGGAUGAAGGUCUUCGGAUCGUAAAACUCUGUUAUUAGGGAAGAACAAAUGUGUAAGUAUCUAUGCACGUCUUGACGGUACCUUAUCAGAAAGCCACGGCUAACUACGUG